UACGAAUCGUCCAAACGUUGUUCGGAUUCACUGGGUUUAAAGGGCGCGUAGGCGGUGCGUUAAGUCGGCGGUGAAAUACUUCAGCUCAACUGGAGAAUUGCCGCUGAAACUAGCGUGCUCGAGGGAGGUAGAGGUGCGUGGAACUUCCGGUGGAGCGGUGAAAUGCGUUGAUAUCGGAAGGAACACCUGUGGCGAAAGCGAUGCACUGGACCUCUUCUGACGCUGAGGCGCGAAAGCCAGGGUAGCGAACGGG
Molecule: ribosomal RNA, 253 nt
Filed under: uncultured bacterium
Lineage: Bacteria
Description: partial 16S ribosomal RNA
Rfam family: Bacterial small subunit ribosomal RNA
Source: RNAcentral